GGGAGAUGGCUGAUUGAAACAGAAAGUAAAGUUGUUCUUUUGUACAGGAUCCAUUUUGAGACGACAGAGCAGAAAACACUAUAUGGAGAUUAUUGAAAAAUAAAGGGUCACUGCUCUAAAAUGAGUCUCUCUGGGGAGAGAGAGGAGGGGGGCCCUGUCUCUAAAAUGCAUCUCUCUGGGGGACAUGACACCAAAGCUAAGAGCCCAAUCAAGCAGGAGAGACCAGCCUCCCCUGUAUCCAGCUGGGAGAGUGACCGGUCUAUGAGUCCUCCUCCAAAGUUUAGAAAGGGAGACUUUUCUACUGAACAAAGACCAAUCAAGCAGGAGAGACCAGCCUCCCCUGUUCCCAGCUGUGUGUCCGUGAAGAGUGA
Long non-coding RNA from Salmo salar (Atlantic salmon), 371 nucleotides. RefSeq lists it as uncharacterized. NCBI's taxonomy places the organism in Eukaryota, Metazoa, Chordata, Actinopteri, Salmoniformes, Salmonidae. The record is from RefSeq and is a predicted model, not a curated record.